RNAcentral lists this ribosomal RNA (253 nucleotides) under uncultured bacterium. RNAcentral describes it as "partial 16S ribosomal RNA". It matches the Rfam family "Bacterial small subunit ribosomal RNA", at positions 524 to 776 of the family's 1533-position model. The record is from RNAcentral.
UACGGAGGGUGCGAGCGUUAAUCGGAAUUACUGGGCGUAAAGCGUGCGUAGGCGGUUUUUCAAGUCGGAUGUGAAAGCCCUGGGCUCAACCUGGGAAUGGCAUUCGAGACUGGGAGGCUGGAGUGCGGUAGAGGGCAGUGGAACUCCGGGUGUAGCGGUGAAAUGCGUAGAUAUCCGGAAGAACACCGAUGGCGAAGGCAGCUGCCUGGGCCGUAACUGACGCUGAAGCACGAAAGCGUGGGGAGCAAACAGG